ACACUCCUACGGGAGGCAGCAGUGGGGAAUAUUGCACAAUGGGCGCAAGCCUGAUGCAGCGACGCCGCGUGGGGGAUGAAGGCCUUCGGGUUGUAAACUCCUUUCGCUAGGGACGAAGCUUUUUUGUGACGGUACCUAGAUAAGAAGCACCGGCUAACUACGUGCCAGCAGCCGCGGUAAUACGUAGGGUGCGAGCGUUGUCCGGAAUUACUGGGCGUAAAGGGCUCGUAGGUGGUUUGUCGCGUCGUCUGUGAAAUUCUGGGGCUUAACUCCGGGCGUGCAGGCGAUACGGGCAUAACUUGAGUGCUGUAGGGGUAACUGGAAUUCCUGGUGUAGCGGUGAAAUGCGCAGAUAUCAGGAGGAACACCGAUGGCGAAGGCAGGUUACUGGGCAGUUACUGACGCUGAGGAGCGAAAGCAUGGGUAGCGAACAGGAUUAGAAACCCGUGUAGUCCCA
Molecule: ribosomal RNA, 456 nt
Filed under: uncultured organism
Description: partial 16S ribosomal RNA
Rfam family: Bacterial small subunit ribosomal RNA
Source: RNAcentral